This 30-nucleotide non-coding RNA is filed under the name Rattus norvegicus (Norway rat). Lineage: Eukaryota; Metazoa; Chordata; Mammalia; Rodentia; Muridae. The record is from RNAcentral.
AACAUUUAAAAACUGAAGGAUACAUCCAAG